This 62-nucleotide small nuclear RNA is filed under the name Loxodonta africana (African savanna elephant). Its description in RNAcentral is "U7 small nuclear RNA". It matches the Rfam family "U7 small nuclear RNA". Rfam says of the family: Animal histone pre-mRNAs are spliced by a different mechanism than nuclear pre-mRNAs and self-splicing introns. This processing involves the U7 snRNP, which contains only one RNA species: U7. The 5' end of U7 RNA is thought to base-pair to a conserved spacer element downstream of the cleavage site in histone pre-mRNA. The record is from Rfam by way of RNAcentral. Lineage: Eukaryota; Metazoa; Chordata; Mammalia; Proboscidea; Elephantidae.
UAAUAUGACAGCUCUUUUAAAAUUUGUCUAGCAGAUUUUCUGGCUCUUUCUGGAAGACCUGC